Molecule: ribosomal RNA, 120 nt
Filed under: Salmonella enterica subsp. enterica serovar Gallinarum/Pullorum str. RKS5078
Lineage: Bacteria; Pseudomonadati; Pseudomonadota; Gammaproteobacteria; Enterobacterales; Enterobacteriaceae
Source: RNAcentral
UGCCUGGCGGCAGUAGCGCGGUGGUCCCACCUGACCCCAUGCCGAACUCAGAAGUGAAACGCCGUAGCGCCGAUGGUAGUGUGGGGUCUCCCCAUGCGAGAGUAGGGAACUGCCAGACAU